This 451-nucleotide ribosomal RNA is filed under the name uncultured bacterium. RNAcentral's name for it is "partial 16S ribosomal RNA". It matches the Rfam family "Bacterial small subunit ribosomal RNA", at positions 354 to 796 of the family's 1533-position model. The record is from RNAcentral.
GUGGGGAAUAUUGGACAAUGGGGGGAACCCUGAUCCAGCCAUGCCGCGUGUGUGAAGAAGGCCUUUUGGUUGUAAAGCACUUUAAGCGAGGAGGAGGCUACCGAGAUUAAUACUCUUGGAUAGUGGACGUUACUCGCAGAAUAAGCACCGGCUAACUCUGUGCCAGCAGCCGCGGUAAUACAGAGGGUGCAAGCGUUAAUCGGAUUUACUGGGCGUAAAGCGCGCGUAGGUGGCUAAUUAAGUCAAAUGUGAAAUCCCCGAGCUUAACUUGGGAAUUGCAUUCGGUACUGGUUGGCUAGAGUAUGGGAGAGGAUGGUAGAAUUCCAGGUGUAGCGGUGAAAUGCGUAGAGAUCUGGAGGAAUACCGAUGGCGAAGGCAGCCAUCUGGCCUAAUACUGACACUGAGGUGCGAAAGCAUGGGGAGCAAACAGGAUUAGAUACCCGGGUAGUCC